UUUCCCUGGAUUUUAGGCCUAUGUUUUCACAUACACCAUAACAAUGUAAUAGAAUGUUAUUAAUGGGCUUUAUUGCCUAUAAACUAUAUACAACUUUCAGCAACGGAUCUCUUGGCUCUCGCAUCGAUGAAGAACGCAGCGAAAUGCGAUAAGUAAUGUGAAUUGCAGAAUUCAGUGAAUCAUCGAAUCUUUGAACGCACCUUGCGCUCCUUGGUAUUCCGAGGAGCAUGCCUGUUUGAGUGUCAUUAAAUUCUCAACCUUAUUAGCUUUUGCUGAUAAUGGCUUGGAUGUGGGGGUUUAUUUGCUGGCUUCUUCAUGAGAUCAGCUCCCCUUAAAUGCAUUAGCUGGUUGCCUUGUGCAGACUUGUCUAUUGGUGUGAUAAUUAUCUACGCCGUGGUCAGUCUGCCUGUCUUUAGCACCGCUUCUAACUGUCUGUUUACUCGGACACUUUAUGACAAUUUGACCUCAAAUCAGGUAGGACUACCCGCUGAACUUAAGCAUAU
Molecule: small RNA, 503 nt
Filed under: Pholiota highlandensis
Lineage: Eukaryota; Fungi; Basidiomycota; Agaricomycetes; Agaricales; Strophariaceae
Description: eukaryotic LSU rRNA
Rfam family: 5.8S ribosomal RNA (bases 92-245)
Source: RNAcentral